AGCAGCCGCGGUAAUUCCAGCUCCAAUAGCGUAUAUUAAAGUUGUUGCAGUUAAAAAGCUCGUAGUUGAAUUUCGGGAUCAAGGAAUCGGUCAUGCCUCGGUAUGUACUGGUUUUAUUGGUUCUCACCUUCUAAAGAACCAUAAUGUCAUUCAUUUGAUGUUAUGGGGAAUUAGGACUGUUACCUUGAAAAAAUUAGAGUGUUUAAAGCAGGCUUACGCUUGAAUACAUUAGCAUGGAAUAAUGAAAUAGGACAUCAGAUUCUAUUUUGUUGGUUUCUAGGAUCGAUGUAAUGAUUAAUAGGGAUAGUUGGGGGCAUUAGUAUUCAAUUGUCAGAGGUGAAAUUCUUGGAUUUAUUGAAGACUAACUACUGCGAAAGCAUUUGCCUAAGGAUGUUUUCAUUUAAUCAAGAACGAAAGUUAGGGGAUCGGAAGACGAUCAGAUACCGUCGUAGUCUUAACCAUAAACUAUAGCCGACUAGGGAUCGGAUGAUGUUAAUUUAUAAUGACUCAUUC
This 513-nucleotide ribosomal RNA is filed under the name uncultured Glomus. RNAcentral describes it as "SSU rRNA". It matches the Rfam family "Eukaryotic small subunit ribosomal RNA", at positions 569 to 1081 of the family's 1831-position model. Lineage: Eukaryota; Fungi; Glomeromycota; Glomeromycetes; Glomerales; Glomeraceae. The record is from RNAcentral.